Molecule: long non-coding RNA, 2201 nt
Filed under: Homo sapiens (human)
Lineage: Eukaryota; Metazoa; Chordata; Mammalia; Primates; Hominidae
Description: HSALNT0243122
Source: RNAcentral
ACUGAACCCUAGAGCCCCUGACUGUGGGCUCCACCCAGGCAAGAGCCAAUGGAACUGGAGCCUCCUGCCCCCAACAGGAUUCCUCACAUCCCAGGACCAGCUGGAAAAGGUGGUGAGAGUUGGAAAGAGACUGCUCAGUGAGGACUGCCCUGCGAACCAGCUUGGAUUCAUCCCGUUCACCUCCACGUUCUGCACUCGGGGCCGAGGGAAGGGAGGCAGCCCAGGCAGCUAGAGAACUUGAUGAAACACACUCAAUCUGAAUCUCGCUUGAUCGUCAUGCUGACCCAGUGAGUCUACUCAGGGUCAGGCAUCCUUUCCGACUACUCACUCAGCAGCGGAUCCCCACCCGCCUCUGACUCCCAGUGUCUUUCGGCUCCAACGUAAGUUCACCGAACGUCUAAGAGCUGAGGAUUCAAAGGCAUGUAAGACCGCCCCUGCCCUCAGCUGCAAGACCUGUCCGCGAUCCUACGAGCCCCAUUCCGCCCUCUUUCCCCGACCUUGGUCCCCCAUGGGCCCUACAACCAGGUCCCCGACUGACACCUUGACCAGCGAACACAGCAAACAGGCCCGCAGAUGCCGCAGGUCCUUCGGCACCGUCUCCAGGGCCAUCUUCGCCGAUGGGAAGAACAACAGGGAGAUAGACGACCACAGCCUGUGCACCCGCAGGAAGUAAAUAGCUCGUUACCCAGAAUGCCCACCACUUCCGGCGCUUAGACUUCCUCUUCCGGUGUGGGCGGACGCCAGCUCCGCCCCUACCCCCGCCAGAGGAGAUGGUUUCUCCCGCCAGCAGGCGGGGAGGCUGGGCGGCCGGCCGCCACCUGGGCCGGAGCGCGUCGCAGCCACCUGAGCCCGCCGAGGGCGCGGCGGAGGCUGUGUGGGGUAGUCAGCGGGCCCCCGGGGCGGGGGGGCGGCUGCGCUUGCGCGGGAGUGUGUCGGGCUGAGCCGCAGCGCCGAGACGCGGGCUGUUUGAUCUGGGCUGGUGGCCCUGGGCGUCGGUCCUGUUCCCCGAUGGUAACCCGAAGUUUGUUUUUUUUUGUUUUGUCUCCCCGUUUUAGAAGCAUUGGGGGCAGUGAAUCCACUGUCUCCCUCUGGAUUGUCUCUGCAGAGACCGAGAAGAAAUCCAGGGACAGCCCCACCCCUCCUUCCUAACUGCGAGAGCGCUAUAGGGUUUCCACUUGCUUCCCACAGGAAUGCUGGCCUGGGAGCUACGGCGGAAAAAAAUGCGUAUUUAUCUUUUAAAACUCCGUCUGUUUGCUCGUUCCGGCUGAUAAUUUAUACUUUGCGCAGUUCUUAGCGCUUAGACACGGUUCCUUUACUAAAGACCAUUUGUAGGAGAUUAGGUGUCCUUUUUUUCCCUUUCAUUUCACCGUCUAGGAAGCGAAAUGCCUUGUUCUAUAGGCACUAAACCACCACCCCUACCAAACCUUUCUCGGGGAAGCAGAAGGGGAACUUGUGCCUUGUGAGGAAGCGACAAAGGCCCCUUCUGGCCCUGGAGACUUCACGCCAAUGGAGCACCAGCUCUCUGUCCUCGCAAUAGCCCGAGUGCAGGCAGAACGCAGUCAUUUGUGUUUAUCUGAGAGGAGCUUUGGGAUAUAAAUAGUUUCAGGCCCCGCUGCGCUGUCAUUCCAGCCCAGCCUCCUGAUUGAGCUGCUUCCGGGCGGGCUUUCUUCUUGUUGGCGGUCCCAUGCUGUGUUCAGAUGGGCUCUGUGACAGGUUUGGAUGUUUUCUAUCACUGAAUAAAACUUUCCACUUUGGAACAUAUUUUCUACACUCUAUUAUCUCAUGUAAGUCCUGCAACAACUAUUAAGUAGGCCCAUUUUAUGGACUGAAAAAGCGAGGCACAGAGUAUUUGCCCAAGGUCUGAGUCACUGAAGUAUGAUAAUGUGUGAAGUGAACAGUAUAAUAAUAAUGACUGAAGCACAGUAAGAAUCCAGUCAUGCUUUCUCCUUCCCUGAUCUCACUAAGCCACACUUUUAGGGGCUUACAAACCAGUUCUUAUUGCCAAGCCCUCUACUCUACCCUAUCCUUUCAUGAAUCGGAGCCUAGCCUCUGAUAACAUAAAUAAUUUACUUCUCUUGAUGUAGAAAGAGAUGACGUUGUUACCCUGAGUGACAGUCACGACAGAACAAAACCACAAGACCAGACCACAUUUGUGGAUAAAUAUAUUAGCAAAUAAAUAUAUUUCUUAACAUAGUGCCUGA